UCAGGCUGGUAAAACAAAAUACCUCAGACUGUUAUUUAUAAACAUGAAAUUUACAGUCCACAGUGCUGGAGGCUGGAAAGUCCAGGAUCAAGGCACCAGCAGAUUUGGUGCCUGGUGAGGGCCCUGUUUCUAACAGAUGGUGGAGGGGACAACGGAAGCCCUCAAGCUGCUUUUGUAAGGGCAAAAAUCCCCUUCACGAGGGCUCUGCCCUCACAGCCCACCUAAUCACCUCCCAAAGGCCCCACCUCCUAAUACCAACACAUCAGGGAUAAGAUUUCAACAUACACGUUUUGGAGGGACACAAACAUUCAGUCCAUACAUGAACAGCCACCUCUGUGCCACAAUGCUACUGGGACGCAGAGGUGAAGAGGUGCCACCACCGUCAAGAGGCCUUGGAGAAAGACCAUGGCACAUUAAAGAAAUAAUCGGAGGCAGCACUGGAAAAAGGAGCAUCUGGAUGCAGUAAAGACCCAUCCCUUCCCGCACUGGAGCUGUUGGCUCAUCCCUGGAAAUCACAACAAUCAAGAAUGGAGAAUCGUUCUUUUCAUCCCUUCUCACAGCAUUAUCCCAGCAACCUCAUCCCCUAACAAUGGUGUGGUCUGUGUUAUGUUUUCCCUCCAUCACUGCCCCUCCCUGCUGCUGCACAACAGAGGUGCUGUGCCCCAGAGGCCGCUGAGGUUGCAGGCCUCUCAGCCUCUGAAACAAGGCUGUGAGCGUUUGGAUGCACCCUCAGAAGGAGCUGCAUAAAUAAUCAGAUGAAAAACACCAAACCUUAACUAAAAAUGAAUUUUUUUUCCUCCAUUUUUUCCUCCAUUAAACCAGCUAAAAGAUUUUCAUGACAAUUCCCUGUAGUGUGAUAAAACAGACACCCUUGCAUGUUGCUCUGAACUAUUUGUUAGUAUUAUGUGUUUGGAAAAUAAUCUGGCAGUAUUUCAAAUGCCUUAAAAAUGUUCAUCCCUUUGUGCCCAAUAAUUCUCAUUUCUGGCAUCUGACUUUAAGGUAAUAAUUCAAAGGAAAGAAAAAGAUGUAUGUAUGAAGAUAUAUAUUGCAGUACUAGUUGGGGAAAAAAGUGGUAGAGUUUCUGUUCUUUACAGUUUUCUCCCAUGUUUUCCUCUCUAACUUACCCUUAGGCUUGGUAACAUUCAUCUCUAUGGCUCUUGAUAGAACCAGACAUAAUGACAGAAACUGGAAUUUCUCACCCAUGUUCACAACCUAAACAAGAUCUGCUAUAAAAAUAAUUUACUAUAUGACUAAUCAUACUUAGCAGAGAGCCACAUUUGAGGCCUUUUCAUUUUUAUGAGAUAUAAAAUUAUUAAAGUGCACUUAAAAUAAAAAAUUAACUUACACAUUUAUUAUUCUACUGUAAACCAGGCACUGUGCCACGGGCUGAGGAUACAGCAGUAAACAAAACAGACAUGGUCCAUGAUCUCAGAGCUGAGUAUCUGGCAGAGAUAUAAAGAAACAGACUUUUUUUUUUUUUUGAGACCGAGUCUUGCUCUGUCACCCAGGGUGGAGUGCUGGAGUGCACCGGUGUGAUCUCGGCUCACUGCAACCUCUGCCUCCUGGGUUCAAGCAAUUCUCCUGCCUCAGCCUCCUGAGUAGCUGGGAUUACAGGUACACACCACCACACUGGCUAACUUUUGCAUUUUUGUGGAGAUGGGGUUUCGCCAUGUUGGCCAGGCUGGUCUGGAACUCCUGGCCUCGAUCUGCCCCUGCUUGGCCUCUCAAAGUGCGGGGAUUACAGGCAUGAGCCACUGCGCCCAGGUGAGAAGAAACAGAUAAUUUUGAAAAACAAUUUUAUUUUCUUUUUUUCUAGAGACAGGGGUCUCACUAUGUUUCCCAGGCAGGAUUUGAGCUCUUUGGCUCAAGCAAUCUUCUUGCCUCAGCCUCCCAGUAGGUGGGACUACAGGGAUGUACCAUCAUGCCCAGCUAAGAAACAGGUAAUUAUGAUAAAGCAUGAUCAAUAUUAUGAUCAAGGAAAAUAUGGUGCACCAUGAGAAUUAAUAGCAAGGAAGAGGGUCUUAUCCUUGUUCAAUGUGGGAAGAAGAUAAGGAAUUUGGACAUCAUCCUAAGGA
Long non-coding RNA from Homo sapiens (human), 2075 nucleotides. RefSeq lists it as uncharacterized. Lineage: Eukaryota; Metazoa; Chordata; Mammalia; Primates; Hominidae. The transcript has 3 exons. The record is from RefSeq and is a predicted model, not a curated record.